This 480-nucleotide ribosomal RNA is filed under the name uncultured bacterium. Its description in RNAcentral is "partial 16S ribosomal RNA". It matches the Rfam family "Bacterial small subunit ribosomal RNA", at positions 28 to 523 of the family's 1533-position model. The record is from RNAcentral.
GACGAACGCUGGCGGCGUGCCUAACACAUGCAAGUCGAGCGAAUGAAGUUCCUUCGGGAAUGGAUUUAGCGGCGGACGGGUGAGUAACACGUGGGCAACCUGCCUCAUAGAGGGGAAUAGCCUUCCGAAAGGGAGAUUAAUACCGCAUAAGAUUGUAGUACCGCAUGGUACUGCAAUUAAAGGAGCAAUCCGCUAUGAGAUGGGCCAGCGGCGCAUUAGCUAGUUGGUGAGGUAACGGCUCACCAAGGCGACGAUGCGUAGCCGACCUGAGAGGGUGAUCGGCCACAUUGGGACUGAGACACGGCCCAGACUCCUACGGGAGGCAGCAGUGGGGAAUAUUGCACAAUGGGGGAAACCCUGAUGCAGCAACGCCGCGUGAGUGAUGACGGCCUUCGGGUUGUAAAGCUCUGUCUUCAGGGACGAUAAUGACGGUACCUGAGGAGGAAGCCACGGCUAACUACGUGCCAGCCGCCGCAGUAA